GGGUUGUGAGGUUAAGCGACUAAGCGUACACGGUGGAUGCCCUGGCAGUCAGAGGCGAUGAAGGACGUGCUAAUCUGCGAUAAGCGUCGGUGAAAGAAAUCAACCGAGAUUCCCCCAGUAGCGGCGAGCGAACGGGGAGGAGCCCAGAGCCUGAAUCAGUGUGUGUGUUAGUGGAAGCGUCUGGAAAGGCGCGCGAUACAGGGUGACAGCCCCGUACACAAAAAUGCACAUAUUGUGAGCUCGAUGAGUAGGGCGGGACACGUGGUAUCCUGUCUGAAUAUGGGGGGACCAUCCUCCAAGGCUAAAUACUCCUGACUGACCGAUAGUGAACCAGUACCGUGAGGGAAAGGCGAAAAGAACCCCGGCGAGGGGAGUGAAAAAGAACCUGAAACCGUGUACGUACAAGCAGUGGGAGCCUCUUAAUGGGGUGACUGCGUACCUUUUGUAUAAUGGGUCAGCGACUUAUAUUCUGUAGCAAGGUUAACCGAAUAGGGGAGCCGAAGGGAAACCGAGUCUUAACUGGGCGUUAAGUUGCAGGGUAUAGACCCGAAACCCGGUGAUCUAGCCAUGGGCAGGUUGAAGGUUGGGUAACACUAACUGGAGGACCGAACCGACUAAUGUUGAAAAAUUAGCGGAUGACUUGUGGCUGGGGGUGAAAGGCCAAUCAAACCGGGAGAUAGCUGGUUCUCCCCGAAAGCUAUUUAGGUAGCGCCUCGUGAAUUCAUCUCCGGGGGUAGAGCACUGUUUCGGCAAGGGGGUCAUCCCGACUUACCAACCCGAUGCAAACUGCGAAUACCGGAGAAUGUUAUCACGGGAGACACACGGCGGGUGCUAACGUCCGUCGUGAAGAGGGAAACAACCCAGACCGCCAGCUAAGGUCCCAAAGUCAUGGUUAAGUGGGAAACGAUGUGGGAAGGCCCAGACAGCCAGGAUGUUGGCUUAGAAGCAGCCAUCAUUUAAAGAAAGCGUAAUAGCUCACUGGUCGAGUCGGCCUGCGCGGAAGAUGUAACGGGGCUAAACCAUGCACCGAAGCUGCGGCAGCGACACUAUGUGUUGUUGGGUAGGGGAGCGUUCUGUAAGCCUGUGAAGGUGKMCUGUGAGGKWUGCUGGAGGUAUCAGAAGUGCGAAUGCUGACAUAAGUAACGAUAAAGCGGGUGAAAAGCCCGCUCGCCGGAAGACCAAGGGUUCCUGUCCAACGUUAAUCGGGGCAGGGUGAGUCGACCCCUAAGGCGAGGCCGAAAGGCGUAGUCGAUGGGAAACAGGUUAAUAUUCCUGUACUUGGUGUUACUGCGAAGGGGGGACGGAGAAGGCUAUGUUGGCCGGGCGACGGUUGUCCCGGUUUAAGCGUGUAGGCUGGUUUUCCAGGCAAAUCCGGAAAAUCAAGGCUGAGGCGUGAUGACGAGGCACUACGGUGCUGAAGCGACAAAUGCCCUGCUUCCAGGAAAAGCCUCUAAGCAUCAGGUAACAUCAAAUCGUACCCCAAACCGACACAGGUGGUCAGGUAGAGAAUACCAAGGCGCUUGAGAGAACUCGGGUGAAGGAACUAGGCAAAAUGGUGCCGUAACUUCGGGAGAAGGCACGCUGAUAUGUAGGUGAAGCGACUUGCUCGUGGAGCUGAAAUCAGUCGAAGAUACCAGCUGGCUGCAACUGUUUAUUAAAAACACAGCACUGUGCAAACACGAAAGUGGACGUAUACGGUGUGACGCCUGCCCGGUGCCGGAAGGUUAAUUGAUGGGGUUAGCGGUAACGCGAAGCUCUUGAUCGAAGCCCCGGUAAACGGCGGCCGUAACUAUAACGGUCCUAAGGUAGCGAAAUUCCUUGUCGGGUAAGUUCCGACCUGCACGAAUGGCGUAAUGAUGGCCAGGCUGUCUCCACCCGAGACUCAGUGAAAUUGAACUCGCUGUGAAGAUGCAGUGUACCCGCGGCAAGACGGAAAGACCCCGUGAACCUUUACUAUAGCUUGACACUGAACAUUGAGCCUUGAUGUGUAGGAUAGGUGGGAGGCUUUGAAGUGUGGACGCCAGUCUGCAUGGAGCCGACCUUGAAAUACCACCCUUUAAUGUUUGAUGUUCUAACGUGGGCCCCUUACCGGGGUUGCGGACAGUGUCUGGUGGGUAGUUUGACUGGGGCGGUCUCCUCCUAAAGAGUAACGGAGGAGCACGAAGGUUGGCUAAUCCUGGUCGGACAUCAGGAGGUUAGUGCAAUGGCAUAAGCCAGCUUGACUGCGAGCGUGACGGCGCGAGCAGGUGCGAAAGCAGGUCAUAGUGAUCCGGUGGUUCUGAAUGGAAGGGCCAUCGCUCAACGGAUAAAAGGUACUCCGGGGAUAACAGGCUGAUACCGCCCAAGAGUUCAUAUCGACGGCGGUGUUUGGCACCUCGAUGUCGGCUCAUCACAUCCUGGGGCUGAAGUAGGUCCCAAGGGUAUGGCUGUUCGCCAUUUAAAGUGGUACGCGAGCUGGGUUUAGAACGUCGUGAGACAGUUCGGUCCCUAUCUGCCGUGGGCGCUGGAGAACUGAGGGGGGCUGCUCCUAGUACGAGAGGACCGGAGUGGACGCAUCACUGGUGUUCGGGUUGUCAUGCCAAUGGCACUGCCCGGUAGCUAAAUGCGGAAGAGAUAAGUGCUGAAAGCAUCUAAGCACGAAACUUGCCCCGAGAUGAGUUCUCCCUGACUCCUUGAGAGUCCUGAAGGAACGUUGAAGACGACGACGUUGAUAGGCCGGGUGUGUAAGCGCAGCGAUGCGUUGAGCUAACCGGUACUAAUGAACCGUGAGGCUUAACCUUACAACGCCGAAG
This 2792-nucleotide ribosomal RNA is filed under the name Escherichia coli. Its description in RNAcentral is "23S ribosomal RNA". It matches the Rfam family "Bacterial large subunit ribosomal RNA". The record is from RNAcentral. Lineage: Bacteria; Pseudomonadati; Pseudomonadota; Gammaproteobacteria; Enterobacterales; Enterobacteriaceae.